This 301-nucleotide ribosomal RNA is filed under the name uncultured bacterium. RNAcentral describes it as "partial 16S ribosomal RNA". It matches the Rfam family "Bacterial small subunit ribosomal RNA", at positions 509 to 807 of the family's 1533-position model. The record is from RNAcentral.
CAGCAGCCGCGGUAAGACGAACCGUGCGAACGUUAUUCGGAAUCACUGGGCUUAAAGCGCGUGUAGGCGGGCCGCCACGUCGGCUGCUGAAAUCCCCCGGCUCAACCGGGGAACGGGCACCGAUACGAGCGGCCUCGAGGGGGGUAGGGGGGUCUGGAACUUCCGGUGGAGCGGUGAAAUGCGUUGAGAUCGGAAGGAACGCCCGUGGCGAAAGCGAGGCCCUGGACCCUUUCUGACGCUGAGACGCGAAAGCCAGGGGAGCGAACGGGAUUAGAUACCCGAGUAGUCCCUGUCUCUUAUA